Molecule: ribosomal RNA, 497 nt
Filed under: uncultured bacterium
Lineage: Bacteria
Description: partial 16S ribosomal RNA
Rfam family: Bacterial small subunit ribosomal RNA
Source: RNAcentral
GAUGAACGCUGGCGGCGUGCCUAAUACAUGCAAGUCGAGCGAACAGACGAGAAGCUUGCUUCUCUGAUGUUAGCGGCGGACGGGUGAGUAACACGUGGAUAACCUACCUAUAAGACUGGGAUAACUUCGGGAAACCGGAGCUAAUACCGGAUAAUAUAUUGAACCGCAUGGUUCAAUAGUGAAAGACGGUUUUGCUGUCACUUAUAGAUGGAUCCGCGCUGCAUUAGCUAGUUGGUAAGGUAACGGCUUACCAAGGCAACGAUGCAUAGCCGACCUGAGAGGGUGAUCGGCCACACUGGAACUGAGACACGGUCCAGACUCCUACGGGAGGCAGCAGUAGGGAAUCUUCCGCAAUGGGCGAAAGCCUGACGGAGCAACGCCGCGUGAGUGAUGAAGGUCUUCGGAUCGUAAAACUCUGUUAUUAGGGAAGAACAUAUGUGUAAGUAACUGUGCACAUCUUGACGGUACCUAAUCAGAAAGCCACGGCUAACUACGUG